This 1554-nucleotide long non-coding RNA is filed under the name Olea europaea subsp. europaea. Lineage: Eukaryota; Viridiplantae; Streptophyta; Magnoliopsida; Lamiales; Oleaceae. The record is from RNAcentral.
GUAAUAUUGGUGAUCGGGUUAUUGGGUAUGUAUUGAGUGAAAUGUUACUUGGGUUGUCUCUAUAUAGUUUAAUGGGCACGUGCGUAGGUAGGCUGAAUUACAACGAAUAGGCCCCUCUAUUUAUAGAGUAACUAAACUGUGAAGUUAAAAGGAAACAAAAUUCUAAUAAAAUAUAAUCAUAUUGUAGUAUCAAAAAUAAGCUUAUCAAAUUAAUUGAAAUUAAAGCAGUUGUAGACUUUUCCUAACAUUUUAUUUGUUGCAAUUGUCGUCUCAAACCUUUCAAAAUGUUGCAGUUGAAGCCCAAACGGAUGAAUUUCCCGUCAAUUGACCAAAAAUAAAGUGUUGAUCAUAUUUUUAACAAUUUCAAUGAUGGUAAAAUGGUAAUUUCAUAUUUAAAACAUUAAAGAAUUCAAAUAAUUAAUUAACUAAACCAAAAAAAAAAAUGGAAAUUAAAAAACUGAACAUUCUUCUUCCCCAAUCCCCCGCCUGCCCUGCCUCGGAACAGAACCACAACCUCCGUCACCACCUCAGCCUCCAUUGAAGAGAGCUAAAAAAUAACCCUCCAAGAAAAAGCACCGUUAACACCCUUUGUAAAAUAAGAAGAUAAGAAACAAAUUCGCUAAAAUCUAACCAAAUGCUUGAUUUGGAGGCAUCUUUGCACAUUAUUAAAUCAUUUAUAAGCUGCCCAACUUUGUCUAGAUUGCACUCAUCACCAUCAGUUGAUUCUAAUCCCAAGUCAACUACAAACUUAUAAAUUCAGAAGUCGGUCAUUGUAUUUUUUAGCAAGUCGGGUUUUCGAUCUUUUUAGAAGGAAAGACGAUAGUAACAAAAAGCUCUCAAAGCGAAAGAGUACAAGGCUACCUCGGGGACGAAGUAGAUGCUGGUGAUGGAGUGGAUAUUUUCGGUGAAGGGACAAUUUCAAGAGAGAGUUGAGGAAUGGUUACUCUUGUUUCUUCACUGCACUAGCGAUUAUGGGAGUGUCUUGAGGCCGAUUUGUUUCGACUUUGGGUCUCAGGCUGAUGAGAAGGUAGUAUAGAUACUGUUGUCUUGAUUUGAUUAUGAGCUUAGAUCUUGAUAUUUUUCAAUUAUUUUCUUGGCAGAAGAAAAGAUCAAGUGAUGACUUUGACGUGGUGAUGGUUGGAUUUUUAGGUUUGAUUUUUUGGGGUGGAGAGUGGGGACAUGGGGUGUUUGGAGAAGAAAGCUUUCAGUUUUUUUAAUUAAUUUUUUAUUUAAUUAUUUUACAUAGUUACCUUUUUACCUUCAUUAUAAUUGUUAAAGAUAUGGUCAAACUAAUUUUUGGGUCAAUUUAUUAAAAAAAUGAAUCGAAUUCAUCCAUUUUGGGCUCUAGAUGCGAUAUUUUGAAAUGUUUAGGUUGAUGGUUGCAAUAAAUGAAAGGUUAGGGAAAAAUCUGCAAUUGUUUGAAAGGUUUGGGGGUAGUCACUAUCCUAAACAUUUUUUUUUUAAUAAUAAAUAACAGUAGGCCUGAUCAUUGAAUUACCUAUCAGGAUUAAUUAUCCUAAACUUAUAUUUAAACUAAGUCCUUGUUUGAGCCCC